AUGGUUGCACACGCCAGCAUCUACUGCAACGCCGCCACCACCACGACGACGGCGAGGAGCGGGCUGGCAUACUCCGCCGUGGCCCCUAAGUCGUCGCCGAGGAAUACCAAGAGAAGGAGCGGCAGGAAGGCGACGAGGACAACGGCCGGGCGGCGGCGCUGCGUGGAGGCGAUCAGGAGGAAGAUGGAAGCGCUGAGGCGGCUCGUCCCUAGCGGCGGCGAUCACCGCAGCAACGACGAGGAGCUCCUGUUCCGCGCCGCCGACUACAUCGUGCGGCUGCAGGUGCAGGUGAAGGCGAUGCAGCUCAUGGUCGACGUGCUGGAGCACACCAAAGACUCUUGA
This 342-nucleotide ribosomal RNA is filed under the name Triticum aestivum (bread wheat). RNAcentral describes it as "partial small subunit ribosomal RNA". Lineage: Eukaryota; Viridiplantae; Streptophyta; Magnoliopsida; Poales; Poaceae. The record is from RNAcentral.